UACAGAGGUGGCAAGCGUUGUUCGGAAUUACUGGGCGUAAAGGGCGCGUAGGCGGUUCGUUAAGUCCUGUGUGAAAUCCCCCGGCUCAACUGGGGAACUGCACAGGAAACUAGCGGGCUUGAGUUCGGGAGAGGGAAGCGGAAUUCCGGGUGUAGCGGUGAAAUGCGUAGAUAUCCGGAGGAACACCCAUGGCGAAGGCAGUUCACUGGCAGUCAUCUGACGCUGAGGCGCGAAAGCGUGGGUAGCAAACAGG
RNAcentral lists this ribosomal RNA (253 nucleotides) under uncultured bacterium. RNAcentral describes it as "partial 16S ribosomal RNA". It matches the Rfam family "Bacterial small subunit ribosomal RNA", at positions 524 to 776 of the family's 1533-position model. The record is from RNAcentral.